AUUUUAAUAGCUUAAAUUGGAAAGCAAAGCAUUGAAGCUGCUAGGAUGGCAAGUAUGUCUUAAGAUA
Molecule: transfer RNA, 67 nt
Filed under: Viviparus chui
Lineage: Eukaryota; Metazoa; Mollusca; Gastropoda; Architaenioglossa; Viviparidae
Description: tRNA-Phe
Source: RNAcentral